Molecule: long non-coding RNA, 433 nt
Filed under: Salvia miltiorrhiza (redroot sage)
Lineage: Eukaryota; Viridiplantae; Streptophyta; Magnoliopsida; Lamiales; Lamiaceae
Description: long non-coding RNA (SMIL_LNC009120)
Source: RNAcentral
AUGAAUAUAACGGAAAGAAGGAGAUGUAAGAUGACGAAGCAUAAAUAAAUAUUCAGUGAUGAAUUAUUGACAGAAGAUGCAUGCAUAAAGAGAUGUAGAAGAAGAAGUCACAUAAAACGGCGAUAGAAAAGAUAUGUAUUAGGGAUUCCACUAUUUUCCUUUUUAAUAUAUUGUUUGUAUUCAUUUUUAUUAGUUUUUGUUUCUUUUUUUAAUUUUAUUUUUGUCUACGUUAUGUUUAAUCAAUACUUUAAAAUAUGAAUAUUUAAUUUGGGGUAUUUAAAUUGAACUUUUAACAUUAAUGUAGUUUAAAGUUUUAGGGCUCAAUAUUGUUAAGUUGGGGCUAUUAAUUUUAUUUAAUUUACUGAUGGGUCCAAAAAAAAUUAAAAUUUCAAGUUGUGUACUUUAAUUUUCACUUAUUUAAUAGACAGUAAAU